Molecule: unclassified non-coding RNA, 6828 nt
Filed under: Monomorium pharaonis (pharaoh ant)
Lineage: Eukaryota; Metazoa; Arthropoda; Insecta; Hymenoptera; Formicidae
Description: rho-associated protein kinase 2, transcript variant X4
Source: RNAcentral
ACCGUUGUGAAUUGAUCGAAUGGCGCACGCACGGCUCAGCUGUACACCCGAAUAAUGCGCCUUUCUCUCAAAGAUUUCUCUCGUUCGGAUGACAGCGGUUGCCAGCGACAGGACGUAGGGUGACAUCGGGAUGAGAAAGCAUGGAACAUCCAUCAGGAGUCGCAGUUAUACUUCACUCGAGUCAAUGUUGCAUUUAGUUGCUUGCGCUUCAAUAGUUUUUAAUGUGACAGAAACGAUACGUUAUUGAGGCACAGUAAUCCAAGCUCCUUUAAGGAGAGAUGGAUGUGGUGUGUGAUGAGGACAGGCGGAGACGCCUGCGAGCUUUGGAGGAGCGUAUAAGGGAUCCGCGAAGCGUCACUAAUAUCGACUGUCUGUUGGAUACGGUUCAAGCUCUAGUAACAGAUUGCGAUCACGCGAGCGUGAAACGCAUGAAAAAUAUAGAAGCUUAUAUGAAUAGAUAUGACACUGUGGCUCAAGAAAUUUAUCAAAUGCGAAUGCGCACAGACGAUUUUACUUUGAUCAAAGUAAUUGGUCGUGGCGCAUUUGGAGAGGUACAGUUGGUUAGACACAAAUCUACACAAAGAGUUUACGCUAUGAAAUUACUUAGUAAAUUUGAAAUGAUUAAACGAUCAGAUUCCGCAUUUUUUUGGGAAGAGAGGGACAUAAUGGCUCACGCCAAUUCACCAUGGAUAGUUCAGCUCCACUUUGCGUUUCAAGACCAAAAAUAUCUUUACAUGGUGAUGGAUUACAUGCCAGGUGGAGAUCUGGUCAACUUGAUGUCAAAUUAUGAAGUGCCGGAGAAAUGGGCAAAAUUUUACUGCGCCGAGGUGGUAUUGGCAUUGGAUGCGAUACAUAAUAUGGGUUUUGUUCAUAGAGAUGUAAAACCAGACAACAUGUUGCUCGAUAAGCAUGGCCAUUUGAAGCUUGCUGAUUUUGGUACAUGUAUGAGGAUGGAUUCUGAUGGCUUAGUACGGUCUGAUACCGCGGUUGGUACCCCUGAUUACAUAUCUCCGGAAGUUCUGCAAUCACAAGGUGGAGAAGGAGUAUACGGUCGCGAAUGCGAUUUUUGGUCCGUCGGUGUCUUUCUCUACGAGAUGUUGUUUGGCGAUACACCGUUUUUCGCCGACUCUUUAGUCGGCACGUAUUCUAAGAUCAUGGACCAUAGAAAUUCGCUCUAUUUUCCUCAGAACGUAGAGAUAUCUCAUUUGGCGAAGAACUUGAUAUGCGGCUUCCUUACCGACAGGACGAAGCGUCUGGGUCGCAAUGGCGUUGACGAGAUCAAAAACCAUGCGUUCUUCAAAAAUGAUCAAUGGACUUUCGACAAUCUAAGGGAGUGCGUACCACCGGUAGUGCCCGAGCUCUCCGGGGACGAUGACACCAGUAAUUUUGAUGAUGUCGACAAGGAAGACGGGCCAGAGGAGAGUUUUCCAAUACCUAAAGCUUUCUCUGGAAAUCAUUUACCUUUUAUCGGAUUCACUUACUCGGGUGAUUACCAGUUAAUGGUCUCUUAUGGCAAGGAAUCCGUCGAUGGUCUCGAGAAUCAUGUUAACAAUGGCACUACCGAUGAUAUCAAGAUCUCGCAGUUGGAGAAUUUACUAGAACGAGAGAGGCGACAAGUAGAGACGUUGGAGUCGAGGCAGAAGGUAUUAAACACGCAAUUGGAAACGAUGGCGUGUCAAGAGGCCGAGCUACGGGAAGAAGUUAGCAGAGCAGAUAAGGAACUGACUCUGCUCAGGCACAACUACAAGGAGGCGCAACGCAGAGUGGAGCACGAGACGGAGACUCGUCGUAAGGCGGAAUCGCUGCUGGUAGAGGUGAAGAAAAAGUUUGAUGAGGAACAAACGAGGCGGGCGCGAGACGCUAGUAACUCGCAGCAGACGUCCGAGCGAGUGACGACAUUAGAGAAACAGAUUAAAGAGAUGCAAUGUAAACUGGAGAGAGAAACGGAAACGGUUACACGAUUACGCAAGCAAGCAACGGAGAUCACUGUGGCGCGUCAAGCUGCCGAGCAAAUGGCAAACGAGUUGCAAGUUGCCAGAGCUCAACUGCAAGCGCAGCGUGAUAACUUGCAGCAAGAAGUUGCUACUCUCCAGGGUCAGCUUUCCAAGGAACGUAGUUCGAGAUCACAAGCAUCACUGUUGACGGCUGAAUUGGAGACUCGGCUUUCCACCCUGCAUCUUGAAUUAGAACGAAGCCACGAGAAGGAGGAGAAGGCGACCUUGGAUAAUAGGCAAUUAACUGAAAGAGUUUCCGCGUUGGAGAAAGAAGCUGCUAGUUUAACCUUGGAAUUGAAAGCCGCACAAGCCAGAUACAAUCAAGAAGUUAUGGCACACCAAGAAACGGAGCGUUCGCGCAUUAUUUCCAAGGAGGAAGCCAAUCUGGAAGUUGUCAAAGAACAAAAGAAUGGAAUUUUCGAAGCACUGCAAGCAAAAUUAACUGAGGAGAAAAGUGGAAGACAACGUGCGGAAUUACUUGCGCAGGAAAAAGAACGUCAAACAUCGAUGCUGUCUGUCGAUUACAGACAGAUACAGCAACGAUUACAGAAAUUAGAGGGUGAACAUAGACAAGAGAUGGAGAAAGUCAAGGUUCUGCAAGGCCAAAUUGAGCAGGAGCAACAAAAAAGAAACGUUCUACAGACCGAAUUAGGUCAACAAACGUCCGAAGCUGGCAGGCUUCGCGCUCGCGAGCAACAAUUAGUCGGAGAGGUUGCUCAGCUUAGGGAAGCUAAACGGCAAAUAGAAGAGGAAUUGCAUCAUUUGAAAACACAAAGAAAUGUCGAUCAGUUACAGACGAAAGAAUUGCAGGAGCAAUUGGAAGCCGAAGCUUAUUUCUCGACUCUGUACAAAACGCAGACGCAAGAAUUGCGCGAAGAGUUAGACGAGAAAAUAAGGUCGCAACAAGAAUUGGAAGAAGAACGUAGCUCUCUGGUCCAUCAACUGCAGUUGUCGUUGGCGCGCGGGGACAGUGAAGCUCUGGCCAGAUCCAUAGCCGAGGAGACUGUGGCGGACUUGGAGAAAGAAAGAACUAUGAAAGAGUUAGAAUACAAAGAUGGAUUGACCAAGCAUCACCAGGAACUAAGCGCGAAGGAACAGAUCAUAAAUAGACUUAGGGAGAAUGAGAGUGAAUUCAAAAAAUCAGUUGAUCAGGCUCUGAAAGAAAAAGAAGAUUUGAGCAAACGGUAUAAAGAAUUGCAGGAACAACUCGGUAAAGCGCAGUUCAAUGCGGAGGAAAUUGAGAAGUUGAGCAGCAAGCUCAAAACCGAGCAACUGUUGAAGCAACAGGCGGUCAACAAGUUGGCUGAGAUUAUGAAUCGAAAAGAUCUUUCGUUGAGCGGGAAGAAUAAGAAUAAGGCGUCCGCUGCAGAUUUGAGAAAGAAGGAGAAAGAUUGCAGACGCCUACAGCAAGAACUCACUCAAGAGAGGGAGAAGUAUGGACAGCUGGCAGCUAAAUGGCAGAAAGAUUUGCAGGAUUUGCAAGCACAACUUGUGGAGGAGAAUCAAGCCAAGUUGAGACUGCAGAUGGAACUCGACUCGAAAGAUUCGGAGAUAGAAACGUUACAGAUGAAAAUUGCGUCGCUUAAUUCGGAAACUGCAAGCGUAUCGUCUAUAGAGAAUGACGACGGUGAGGACUCAGUUUUGUCCGAGCACAGUGCGAUGAGAUUAGAGGGUUGGUUAAAUGUGCCAAAUAAGCAGAACAUUAAGCGGCACGGUUGGAAGAAGCAAUAUGUCGUUGUUUCCUCCAAGAAGAUUAUUUUCUAUAAUAGUGAAAAUGACAAAAUGAACGCCGAUCCAGUCCUGAUAUUAGACUUGAAUAAAGUCUUCCACGUUAGAUCUGUUACUCAGGGUGAUGUUAUCCGAGCCAAUGCCAAAGAUAUACCCAGAAUAUUUCAGUUACUCUAUGCUGGUGAAGGAGAAGCAAGACGACCUGGUGAUGAGGGGAAUACACUGCCUGGAGUGGAUUUACCACAGCUCGCGGACAAACCUGGCACUCAGUCGCUCAAGGGCCAUGAAUUUGUUUCGAUAUCUUAUCACAUGCCGACAACCUGCGAAGUCUGUUCGAAGCAAUUGUGGCACAUGUUUCGACCUUCGCCGGCCCUCGAAUGUCGAAGGUGCCGUAUUAAGGUUCACAAGGAACACUUGGAUAAGAAAGAAGAUGCCAUAGCUCCGUGUAAACUGCAUUAUGAUCCGAACAGCGCCCGUGAGCUAUUGUUGCUCGCGCCGAAUCCCGAGGAACAAAAGUAUUGGGUCUCAAGGUUAUCCAGGCGCGUCCAGAAAUGCGGCUACAAGGCCAACUCGCACGUAGACGGCACGGGACAGCGCGUUUCACCAAGGUAGCGUAGCCGUGCUGCUGCUCGACGUGAGCGGGGACUAAGUAGCUCUCUUAUUUUGUGACGUCGCAUGAUAUGGGUGUAGAGAGGGAAUCCACAAGGUCAACCUUGAAGCCAUACUUAUCCGUGCAGCAACGAUCUGCAACGUUGCCAGCGAACGCCAGUAUGGGCAAGUGAUUCUGAAAGAUGCUGGUGAUACUGACGAUUCUAGAAAAAUUACUCCGCUUAUGAUCCGAUGUCCUGUUUCCUUCGAUGAUGAUGUCAGUAAGGAUAUCAAGAAUCGUAACAAACUAUCACGACUUCGCGAUUUUCUCUGCCCACCUGACGACUGAAGUAGACUGUCAAUAAUUUCCUAAAUCGAAAGUAAUCGAAAUAGCGAUUGCGAUCAUAUUAAUGUUACUAUUCGCAGCUAAGAGUAAAUGAAAUUCAAGUUGGAGAAUCGCUGGAAAAAACAGGGUUACUUAUAUACUGGGUAAUAGAUGGAUAUGGCAUGAUAUGAAAAGGAGUAUAGAGAGGUAGGACGCCGUGUCCAUGAUCUCUUUACGCGCCAUGUCAUUCUCGAAAUAAUGAUAAUAUGGAAUCAGAGAUACGCUUCGUUCUUUGAAAUUGCUGUUUUAUCGUGAGAGCGAUGAUAUAUAAUAAUCUUUUUGUACGUUGUUCAUGAUACUCAUGAUAGACAGAAGAACAUUUUCUCGAAGAAUGACCGAAUUUUUGCGGUGAUUUUCCUGAUUGGGACUAUACUCUCUCUCGACUUUGUACGCACAUUUCUUACUGCCUUUGAUAAUGUUUAACGAUGAAUCUUGCUGGAGACUUUUAGCUUAAGGCAUUUUUUGAAUGCUUUAAACCGAAAUUUCGGAAACUUAUAGUAAAGAGUAUAGUAUUUUGAAAUUGUUUUUUAUGUAUACAUAUAUAGUAUGUUCUCCAAAAACGUGUGUCGACAGAUACAUACAGGAUACAUACAGAAAUCUUGCUUUAACGUGACUUUCGUCUUAGAGCGGAUUUAUUUAACGUUUGAUAUUUGAGAUGCUUCUAUGAGCAAAGUUGUGUUUUUUAGAAGAUGUAAAUAACAACACGCGUCCGAGGAUCAACGUUUUUAUUCAAGUUUGGCAUGUAAGUCGAUUUCACGGAUAUUGCGAGGAAGAAGCAAUAUUGAUCAGUGUAUAGCGCGUGUAAAGAGUAUACGAGCACAGUGGCGAUUGCCAAUUUGUAUAAUAGUAUGAUAAUGAUUGCGGUUGUAAGUUAAGAAUUUUUAUUACCAUGAUACGAGUUAAUGACGUCCGCUAUAUCCCUGAUAGAGAUAGGAGAGAAAAGAGAAAGAAAAUGCUAAAAGAGAACCAACUAAGAAAAUCGUGCAUAACCGAGCUUAAAAGCUUUGUCAUGAUGCCAUAUGGCUUAGUGGCAUCUUUGGCAACGAAAGAAGCUAUAAACAAAAAAUGAGUGGAAAUUUAGAAACGACUUUAGGAAUUAUCUUGGGUUUACUCUUAACACGCCAUUGCCAUCCGUGUUCUUUUCAAAAUACCUCUACGAGGCUUUGUGCCGUACCAAGACUCGAAACGAAGAGAGCCGCAUCGAGAGCUUACAUCAUCAUUAAGUAACUAUGGUUAACAAUAACUGGUAGAUUCUCCUUCUCCACAAAUUGAAUUUACAAACAUUAAUUGCAAUUUAACAAAUAAUUAUUCCUUUGAAUAAUGAAUAAUUAUUCCUUCUUCUCUUCUAAAGAUAGAAUUUAGAGAAAGAGUUGUGUUUAUAUUUCUAGAGAGAUCUAGAAAGUUUUGCUUUCUUUCCAGAAAGAAUAUUUUAGUUAAUUUUGAUUUAUGACUGAUAACGAGAAAGAGUUGAAAAUCAGUAGCUGGACUUGAGGAAACAAGAAAGGAAAUAAGAGCAAUAGAAAUAAGUUAUACAAAGUUCAAUAUCUAUUACAAACUUAGACUAAUUAAACUCCUUUUCUCCAUCUAUGUUAUAGCUAGAAUAAAUGGAGAAUGGAGAAUGGAGAAUUGCUAAUCCCUCCUUCUUCGAAGUUAGUUAACUAAAAAAUUGUCGAUGUAAGUGGCUUCAAAAACUCAACGAGUAACACAUCCUUCAAAUGGUGCUCUUCCCUAUCCUAUCCAUUCUUUUGGUUUGACGAAGCAGUGAGAAUAAGUAAGAAGUUAUCGGAAACUUCUCGUCCUCGCGGUAAUAAUCGUAAUUAAAAAAAAAACGCAUGGAAGAGGGAAAAGGUGCAUAUUAAAAUCGAAAAAAUACAUCCAAUAUAUUGCCCCGUGCCUUCUUCAUUGUUUCAGUCUUCAAUGAGGGACUGAAGUAGAAGACAAUUGACAAUGAGAAGAGAAAGAAUAUGACAACGAGAAUGAAAGAAUGAAUGUGAGAAAAUGUGUGUGUUUUGUGUGUUUGUAUAAGGGGAGAAAGGAGAGAAGAACUUGUUACAGGAUAUUUUAUUAUUGUUUAGUUAUUUACAAUCUGUAUAUUAUUAAUUAAUAUUACGAUUAAAAGUAUUUUGUAGAUAA